UGGGGAAUAUUGCACAAUGGGGGCAACCCUGAUGCAGCUAUGCCGCGUGUGUGAAGAAGGUCUUCGGAUUGUAAAGCACUUUCAGCAGGGAAGAAAGUAAAUAUGCUUAAAUACCAUGUUUAUGUGACGU
RNAcentral lists this ribosomal RNA (130 nucleotides) under uncultured Wigglesworthia sp. Its description in RNAcentral is "partial 16S ribosomal RNA". It matches the Rfam family "Bacterial small subunit ribosomal RNA", at positions 355 to 475 of the family's 1533-position model. The record is from RNAcentral. Lineage: Bacteria; Pseudomonadati; Pseudomonadota; Gammaproteobacteria; Enterobacterales; Erwiniaceae.